This 253-nucleotide ribosomal RNA is filed under the name uncultured bacterium. Its description in RNAcentral is "partial 16S ribosomal RNA". It matches the Rfam family "Bacterial small subunit ribosomal RNA", at positions 524 to 776 of the family's 1533-position model. The record is from RNAcentral.
UACGGAGGGGGCAAACGUUGUUCGGAAUUACUGGGCGUAAAGGGUGCGUAGGCGGUUCGGCAAGUCUAGUGUGAAAUCUCCCAGCCUACCUGGGAAACUGCGCUGGAAACUGCCGAGCUCGAGGAUGGGAGAGGCAGAUGGAAUUCCUGGUGUAGCGGUGGAAUGCGUAGAUAUCAGGAAGAACACUCGUGGCGAAGGCGGUCUGCUGGCCCAUUUCUGACGCUGAGGCACGAAAGCCAGGGGAGCAAACGGG